RNAcentral lists this ribosomal RNA (503 nucleotides) under uncultured bacterium. Its description in RNAcentral is "partial 16S ribosomal RNA". It matches the Rfam family "Bacterial small subunit ribosomal RNA", at positions 30 to 523 of the family's 1533-position model. The record is from RNAcentral.
AUUGAACGCUGGCGGCAGGCUUAACACAUGCAAGUCGAGCGGGGUGAUGGUGCUUGCACUAUCACUUAGCGGCGGACGGGUGAGUAAUGCUUAGGAAUCUGCCUAUUAGUGGGGGACAACAUCUCGAAAGGGAUGCUAAUACCGCAUACGUCCUACGGGAGAAAGCAGGGGAUCACUUGUGACCUUGCGCUAAUAGAUGAGCCUAAGUCGGAUUAGCUAGUUGGUGGGGUAAAGGCCUACCAAGGCGACGAUCUGUAGCGGGUCUGAGAGGCUGAUCCACCACACGGGGACUGAGACACGGCCCAGACUCCUACGGGAGGCAGCAGUGGGGAAUAUUGGACAAUGGGGGGAACCCUGAUCCAGCCAUGCCGCGUGUGUGAAGAAGGCCUUAUGGUUGUAAAGCACUUUAAGCGAGGAGGAGGCUCUUUUGGUUAAUACCCAAGAUGAGUGGACGUUACUCGCAGAAUAAGCACCGGCUAACUCUGUGCCAGCCGCCGCAGUAA